This is a non-coding RNA of Acinonyx jubatus (cheetah), 2350 nucleotides long. The record is from the annotation of a RefSeq genome assembly. Lineage: Eukaryota; Metazoa; Chordata; Mammalia; Carnivora; Felidae.
UGAGUGGGCAGCGUGGACGAUGAGCUGGGGUCUGGGCUCCGGGCAGGAGUCACCACCUGGGGGAGUGGGGGAGGACUGAUCUGGGCUUUGCUAUGAAUGGGGCCUGUAGUCGGGCUCCCUGGAGCCUCCGCAGGUCAGGACACGAGUCAGACACCUCUGCUCCCCAAGAACCCCCCGUUCCUGCCACUCAGGGCUGCGGGCAGGGUGUCCUGGCCAAAGCCUCCAUCCAGGCCCCCCUCGUCUUCCCCUUGGCCACCUGCUGCAAAGGCACCAUCGCCACUGCCCCGUCCGUGACACUGGGCUGCCUGGUCACGGGCUACUUCCCGAUGCCGGUGACUGUGACCUGGGAUGCAGGGUCCCUGAACAAGAGCGUCGUGACCCUCCCCGCCACCCUCCAGGAGACCUCUGGCCUCUACACCACCACCAGCCACGUGACCGUCUCGGGCGAGUGGGCCAAACAGAAGUUCACCUGCAGUGUGGCUCACGCGGAGUCCCCCACCAUCAACAAGACCGUCAGUGCGUGUGCCAUGAACUUCAUUCCCCCCACCGUGAAGCUCUUCCACUCCUCGUGUAACCCCCUCGGUGACACCAGUAGCACCAUCCAGCUCCUGUGCCUCAUCUCUGGCUACGUCCCAGGUGACAUGGAGGUCACCUGGCUGGUGGAUGGGCAGAAGGCCACGAACAUAUUCCCAUACACUGCCCCCAGCAAGCAGGAGGGCAAGGUGACCUCCACCCACAGCGAGCUCAACAUCACGCAGGGUGAGUGGGUGUCCCAAAAGACCUACACUUGCCAGGUCACCUAUCAAGGCUUCACCUUUGAGGACAACGCUCGCAAGUGCACAGAGUCUGACCCCCGAGGUGUGAGCACCUACCUGAGCCCGCCCAGCCCUCUUGACCUGUACGUCCACAAGUCGCCCAAGAUCACCUGCUUGGUGGUGGACCUGGCCAACACAGACGGCAUGAUCCUGACCUGGUCGCGGGAGAAUGGGGAGUCUGUGCACCCAGACCCGAUGGUCAAGAAGACUCAGUACAACGGGACAAUCACCGUCACUUCCACCCUGCCUGUGGAUGCCACUGACUGGGUUGAGGGGGAGACCUACCAAUGCAAGGUGACCCAUCCGGACCUGCCCAAGGACAUCGUGCGCUCCAUUGCCAAAGCCCCCGGCCGGCGUUUCCCCCCGGAGGUGUACGUGUUCCUGCCGCCCGAGGGGGAGCCGAAGACCAAGGACAAAGUCACUCUCACGUGCCUGAUCCAGAACUUCUUUCCCCCGGACAUCUCGGUGCAAUGGCUUCACAACGACAGCCCUGUUCGGACGGAACAGCAGGCCACCACGUGGCCCCACAAGGCCACCGGCCCCAGCCCAGCCUUCUUUGUCUUCAGUCGCCUUGAGGUCAGCCGGGCAGACUGGGAGCAGAGGGAUGUGUUCACCUGCCAAGUGGUGCACGAGGCGCUGCCUGGCUCUAGGACGCUCAAGAAAUCCGUGUCCAAAAACCCUGAGCUGGAGCUCCAGGACCUGUGUGCGGACGCCGCUGAGAGCUACGAGCUGGACGAGCUAUGGACCAGCCUGCUGGUCUUCAUCACCCUCUUCCUGCUCAGCGUGAGCUACGGAGCCGCCAUCACCCUCUUCAAGGUGAAGUCGGUACUUGCCACCGUCCUGCAGAAGCCGCAGACCUUCCAGGACUACGCAAACGUACAGGCGGCGAAGUAGCCAGGAGCCAGAGCAACGAGGGCUCGCUUCCCCCUCCCCCUCCCCCUCCCCAUGUCUGAGGCAGUCUGCCUGCCCUGGUGGGGGGGGGGGGGGGAGCGCAGCACACAGGCAUCCAGAAGGUUCCAGCUCAGCCCCAAGGUCCAAGGCACCGAUGGGACCUGCCAAUCACAGCCCCUACCCCGCCCACUUUGGGACAAGCGGCAGAAGAUCAUCAGUCCCUCCACAAAGUGACCUGGGGUCAGGGCCACUCCUGUUCUGACCAAACAACCCCCAAAGCAGGCUGAGGGGGAAGCCCGUGGCCCCGCCCACCGCUGAGUUCUGAGCCAAAAAAGACUCACAGCCCAAGCCAGACUCAGCCCGACCUCCCUGCCACCAGGUCCAAGUGCCUGCCCCUGGGCCCAGCCUUCCCACCGGCCACUGGCAGCACCUGCCCCUGCAGAAUGCAGGUCUGCGGGCAGGGCUCCCAGUGGGAGGAGGGGUCUCGCAGCAGAAGGAACUGCCCACGGGUCCUGGGCCAGCAGCUCCCACCCUGUCCACCCAGGCCCCAUGUGACCUCUCACUCCUGGCUUGGCAACCCUCUUGCCCUGUUAACUUCAUUUUGAGUUUCUUAGUAAAGUGCCUUCUUACAAAUCCCUGUCACC